Molecule: non-coding RNA, 73 nt
Organism: Paramuricea clavata
Lineage: Eukaryota; Metazoa; Cnidaria; Anthozoa; Malacalcyonacea; Plexauridae
Source: the annotation of a GenBank genome assembly
GACCGCGUAGCUCAGUUGGCAGAGCAUUGGGCUAGUAUUCCGAAGGUCGUAGGUUUGAUUCCCACCGUGGCCA